CCACCCGUGUCACCGGGUGAAUCUAAGGGCCUGAAUAAAGAGCGGUCCUGACAACGUAACGAAGCACCACGAGGUGCGGGGUAUCAAAUCGC
Non-coding RNA from Geobacteraceae bacterium GWC2_58_44, 92 nucleotides. Lineage: Bacteria; Pseudomonadati; Thermodesulfobacteriota; Desulfuromonadia; Geobacterales; Geobacteraceae. The record is from Rfam.